Molecule: ribosomal RNA, 546 nt
Filed under: Staphylococcus aureus
Lineage: Bacteria; Bacillati; Bacillota; Bacilli; Caryophanales; Staphylococcaceae
Description: partial 23S ribosomal RNA
Rfam family: Bacterial large subunit ribosomal RNA
Source: RNAcentral
UGCCGAGAAAAGCCUCUAGAUAGAAAAUAGGUGCCCGUACCGCAAACCGACACAGGUAGUCAAGAUGAGAAUUCUAAGGUGAGCGAGCGAACUCUCGUUAAGGAACUCGGCAAAAUGACCCCGUAACUUCGGGAGAAGGGGUGCUCUUUAGGGUUAACGCCCAGAAGAGCCGCAGUGAAUAGGCCCAAGCGACUGUUUAUCAAAAACACAGGUCUCUGCUAAACCGUAAGGUGAUGUAUAGGGGCUGACGCCUGCCCGGUGCUGGAAGGUUAAGAGGAGUGGUUAGCUUCUGCGAAGCUACGAAUCGAAGCCCCAGUAAACGGCGGCCGUAACUAUAACGGUCCUAAGGUAGCGAAAUUCCUUGUCGGGUAAGUUCCGACCCGCACGAAAGGCGUAACGAUUUGGGCACUGUCUCAACGAGAGACUCGGUGAAAUCAUAGUACCUGUGAAGAUGCAGGUUACCCGCGACAGGACGGAAAGACCCCGUGGAGCUUUACUGUAGCCUGAUAUUGAAAUUCGGCACAGCUUGUACAGGAUAGGUAGGAG